This 501-nucleotide ribosomal RNA is filed under the name uncultured Sphingobacteriales bacterium. RNAcentral describes it as "bacterial SSU rRNA". It matches the Rfam family "Bacterial small subunit ribosomal RNA", at positions 903 to 1382 of the family's 1533-position model. The record is from RNAcentral. Lineage: Bacteria; Pseudomonadati; Bacteroidota; Sphingobacteriia; Sphingobacteriales.
GCCACGCCCGCUCAAGAAACUCAAAGGAAGUUGACGGGGCCCGCACAAGCGGAGGAGCAUGUGGUUUAAUUCGAUGAUACGCGAGGAACCUUACCUGGGCUCGAACGUAAGAUGACUGUAGGUGAAAGCUUACAUCUCUUCGGAGCAUUUUACGAGGUGCUGCAUGGUUGUCGUCAGCUCGUGCCGUGAGGUGUCGGGUUAAGUCCCAUAACGAGCGCAACCCCUACCUUUAGUUGCCAUCAGGUUAAGCUGGGGACUCUAAAGGAACUGCCUACGCAAGUAGUGAGGAAGGCGGGGAUGACGUCAAAUCAGCACGGCCCUUACGUCCAGGGCUACACACGUGCUACAAUGGCCGAUACAGAGGGCAGCUACCUGGUGACAGGAUGCAAAUCUCCAAAGUCGGUCUCAGUUCGGAUCGGAGCCUGCAACCCGACUCCGUGAAGUUGGAUUCGCUAGUAAUCGCGCAUCAGCCAUGGCGCGGUGAAUACGUUCCCGGGCCUU